This 1256-nucleotide ribosomal RNA is filed under the name metagenome. Its description in RNAcentral is "bacterial SSU rRNA". It matches the Rfam family "Bacterial small subunit ribosomal RNA", at positions 56 to 1298 of the family's 1533-position model. The record is from RNAcentral.
UGUAAGUUGAGCGCGAAAAGGGUAACCUGAGUAGAGCGGCGCACGGGUGCGUAACACGUGGGUAAUUUGUCUCAAAGUUUAGGAUAACCUUUUGAAAGGUUGGUUAAUAUUAUUGAAGUUCAUAAGGUCUUUGGACCAAGGGAGAAAAGUUGGCCUUUGUUUAUAUGCUAACGCUUUGAGAUGAGCCCGCGGCCCAUCAGCUAGUUGGUGAGGUAAUGGCUCACCAAGGCUAUGAUGGGUAGCUGGUCUGAGAGGAUGAUCAGCCACACUGGAACUGAGAUAUGGUUCAGACUCCUAUGGGAGGUAGUAGUGGGGAAUUUUGCACAAUGGGCGCAAGCUUGAUGUAGCAACGCCGCGUGUGUGAUGAAGGUCUUCGGAUCGUAAAGCACUUUCGACCGGGACGAAUAAGCUACUUUUAAUAUGAGUGGUUUUGAUGGUACCGGGAGAAGAAGCACCGGUUAACUCUGUGCCAGUAGUUGUGGUAAUACAGAGGGUGCAAGCGUUGUUCGGAAUUAUUGGGCGUAAAGCGCGGGUAGGCGGCUUGAAAAGUCGGGUGUGAAAGUCCUCAGUUUAAUUGAGGAAGUGCGCCCGAAAUUUUCGAGCUUGAGUGCCGGAGAGGAUGGCGGAAUGCCCCAAGUAGAGGUGAAAUUCGUAGAUAUGGGGUGGAAUAUUGGUGGUGAAGGUGGCCAUCUGGACGGUAAUUGACGCUGAGCCGCGAAAGCGUGGGUAGUAAACAGGAUUAGAUAUCCUGGUAGUCCACGCUGUAAACGAUGAGAACUAGGUGUCGCGGGUGUUGAUUCCUGCGGUGCCGAAGUUAAUGUAUUAAGUUCUCCGCCUGGGAAGUACGGCCGUAAGGCUAAAACUCAAAGGAAUUGACGGGGGCCCGCACAAGCGGUGGAGCAUGUGGUUUAAUUCGACUAUGCGUAGAAUUUUACCAGGUCUUGACAUCCUUCGAACGACCCUGAAAAGGGUUGGUGCCCGUAAGGGAACGGAGUGACAGGUGCUGUAUGGCUGUCGUCAGCUUGUGUUGUGAGAUGUUGGGUUAAGUCCCGCAAUGAGCGCAACUCUCGCCUUUAGUUGCCACGUAAGUGGAUUUCUAGAGGGACCGCCAGUGAUAAGCUGGAGGAAGGUGGGGAUGACGUCAAGUUUUUAUGGCCUUUAUGAUUUGGGUUAUACACGUGCUACAAUGGCCGGUAUAAAGCGUUAGCCAACUCGUGAGAGGGAGCUAAUUGCAUAAAACCGGUCUUAGUUCGGAU